UAGGGAAUCUUCGGCAAUGGGGGGAACCCUGACCGAGCAACGCCGCGUGAAUGAAGAAGGUUUUCGGAUCGUAAAGCUCUGUUGUUAAGGAAGAACGAGUGUGAGAAUGGAAAGUUCAUGCUGUGACGGUACUUAACCAGAAAGGGACGGCUAACUACGUGCCAGCAGCCGCGGUAAUACGUAGGUCCCGAGCGUUGUCCGGAUUUAUUGGGCGUAAAGCGAGCGCAGGCGGUUAGAAAAGUCUGAAGUGAAAGGCAGUGGCUCAACCAUUGUAGGCUUUGGAAACUGUUUAACUUGAGUGCAGAAGGGGAGAGUGGAAUUCCAUGUGUAGCGGUGAAAUGCGUAGAUAUAUGGAGGAACACCGGUGGCGAAAGCGGCUCUCUGGUCUGUAACUGACGCUGAGGCUCGAAAGCGUGGGGAGCAAACAGG
This 429-nucleotide ribosomal RNA is filed under the name Verrucomicrobiota bacterium. Its description in RNAcentral is "Verrucomicrobia bacterium partial 16S ribosomal RNA". It matches the Rfam family "Bacterial small subunit ribosomal RNA", at positions 355 to 776 of the family's 1533-position model. Lineage: Bacteria; Pseudomonadati; Verrucomicrobiota. The record is from RNAcentral.